Molecule: ribosomal RNA, 253 nt
Filed under: uncultured bacterium
Lineage: Bacteria
Description: partial 16S ribosomal RNA
Rfam family: Bacterial small subunit ribosomal RNA
Source: RNAcentral
UACGUAGGGUGCAAGCGUUGUCCGGAAUUAUUGGGCGUAAAGAGCUCGUAGGCGGUUCGUCGCGUCGGCUGUGAAAUCCCGAGGCUCAACCUCGGGUCUGCAGUCGAUACGGGCGGACUGGAGUUCGGCAGGGGAGACUGGAAUUCCUGGUGUAGCGGUGAAAUGCGCAGAUAUCAGGAGGAACACCGGUGGCGAAGGCGGUUCUCUGGGCCUUACCUGACGCUGAGGAGCGAAAGCAUGGGGAGCAAACAGG